CCUACGGGUGGCAGCAGUGAGGAAUAUUGGUCAAUGGGCGCGAGCCUGAACCAGCCAAGUAGCGUGAAGGAUGACUGCCCUACGGGUGGUAAACUUCUGUUAUAAAGGAAUAAAGUGAGGCACGUGGGCCUUUGUGUAUGGAGUUUAUGAAUAAGGAACGGCUAACUCCGUGCCAGCAGCCGCGGGAAUACGGAGGAUCCGAGCGUUAUCCGGAUUUAUUGGGUUUAAAGGGAGCGUAGAUGUGUUGUUAAGGCAGUUGUGAAAGUUUGCUGCUCAACCGUAAAAUUGCAAUUGAUACUGGCAGCCUUGAGUACAGUUGAGGUAGGCGGAAUUCGUGGUGUAGCGGUGAAAUGCUUAGAUAUCACGAAGAACUCCGAUUGCGAAGGCAGCCUACUAAACUGCCACUGACAUUGAUGCUCGAAAGUGUGGGUAUCAAACAGGAUUAGAUACCCCAGUAGUC
This 460-nucleotide ribosomal RNA is filed under the name uncultured bacterium. Its description in RNAcentral is "partial 16S ribosomal RNA". It matches the Rfam family "Bacterial small subunit ribosomal RNA", at positions 338 to 795 of the family's 1533-position model. The record is from RNAcentral.